AGUGAACGCUGGCGGUAUGCCUAACACAUGCAAGUCGAACGGCAGCACAGUAAUAGCUUGCUCUUACGGUUGGGGAGGGGCGGGCGGGUGAGGAAUACAUCGGAAUCUACUUUUUCGUGGGGGGUAACGUAGGGAAACUUACGCUAAUACCGCAUACGACCUACGGGUGGAAGCAGGAGAUCUUCGGACCUUGCGCCAUUGGAUGAGCCGAUGUCGGAUUAGCUAGUUGGCGGGGUAAAGGCCCACCAAGGCGACGAUCCGUAGCUGGUCUGAGAGGAUGAUCAGCCACACUGGAACUGAGACACGGCCCAGACUCCUACGGGAGGCAGCAGUGGGGAAUAUUGGACAAUGGGCGCAACCCUGAUCCAGCCAUACCGCGUGCGUGAAGAAGGCCUUCGGGUUGUAAAGCGCUUUUGUUGGGAAAGAAAAGCUGUAGGUUAAUACCCCGCUGGUAUGACGGUACCGAAAGAAUAAGCACCGGCUAACUUCGUG
Molecule: ribosomal RNA, 492 nt
Filed under: uncultured bacterium
Lineage: Bacteria
Description: partial 16S ribosomal RNA
Rfam family: Bacterial small subunit ribosomal RNA
Source: RNAcentral